GUAGGUGGCAAGCGUUGUCCGGAAUUAUUGGGCGUAAAGCGCGCGCAGGCGGUCCUUUAAGUCUGAUGUGAAAGCCCACGGCUCAACCGUGGAGGGUCAUUGGAAACUGGGGGGCUUGAGUACAGAGGAGGAAAGCGGAAUUCCAAGUGUAGCGGUGAAAUGCGUAGAGAUUUGGAGGAACACCAGUGGCGAAGGCGGCUUUCUGGUCUGUAACUGACGCUGAGGCGCGAAAGCGUGGGGAGCAAACAGGGAUUAGAUACCCUGGUAGUCCACGCCGUAAACGAUGAGUGCUAAGUGUUAGGGGGUUUCCCGCCCCUUAGUGCUGCAGCUAACGCAUUAAGCACUCCGCCAGGGGAUACGGCCGCAAGGCUG
This 372-nucleotide ribosomal RNA is filed under the name uncultured organism. RNAcentral's name for it is "partial 16S ribosomal RNA". It matches the Rfam family "Bacterial small subunit ribosomal RNA", at positions 527 to 896 of the family's 1533-position model. The record is from RNAcentral.